GUGGGUAGUUUGACUGGGGCGGUCUCCUCCUAAAGAGUAACGGAGGAGCACGAAGGUUGGCUAAUCCUGGUCGGACAUCAGGAGGUUAGUGCAAUGGCAUAAGCCAGCUUGACUGCGAGCGUGACGGCGCGAGCAGGUGCGAAAGCAGGUCAUAGUGAUCCGGUGGUUCUGAAUGGAAGGGCCAUCGCUCAACGGAUAAAAGGUACUCCGGGGAUAACAGGCUGAUACCGCCCAAGAGUUCAUAUCGACGGCGGUGUUUGGCACCUCGAUGUCGGCUCAUCACAUCCUGGGGCUGAAGUAGGUCCCAAGGGUAUGGCUGUUCGCCAUUUAAAGUGGUACGCGAGCUGGGUUUAGAACGUCGUGAGACAGUUCGGUCCCUAUCUGCCGUGGGCGCUGGAGAACUGAGGGGGGCUGCUCCUAGUACGAGAGGACCGGAGUGGACGCAUCACUGGUGUUCGGGUUGUCAUGCCAAUGGCACUGCCCGGUAGCUAAAUGCGGAAGAGAUAAGUGCUGAAAGCAUCUAAGCACGAAACUUGCCCCGAGAUGAGUUCUCCCUGAGACUUUAGGUCUCCUGAAGGAACGUUGAAGACGACGACGUUGAUAGGCCGGGUGUGUAAGCGCAGCGAUGCGUUGAGCUAACCGGUACUAAUGAAC
RNAcentral lists this ribosomal RNA (654 nucleotides) under Salmonella enterica subsp. enterica serovar Indiana. RNAcentral describes it as "partial 23S ribosomal RNA". It matches the Rfam family "Bacterial large subunit ribosomal RNA", at positions 2261 to 2909 of the family's 2925-position model. The record is from RNAcentral. Lineage: Bacteria; Pseudomonadati; Pseudomonadota; Gammaproteobacteria; Enterobacterales; Enterobacteriaceae.